GGAGGCAUAGUUCAGUAGCAGAACACUCCCCUGAUAAGGGAGAGGUGAAUGGUGCAAUCCCAUUUGUCUCCA
RNAcentral lists this transfer RNA (72 nucleotides) under Plasmodium vivax North Korean. Its description in RNAcentral is "tRNA-Ile". It matches the Rfam family "tRNA". From Rfam's summary of the family: Transfer RNA (tRNA) molecules are approximately 80 nucleotides in length. Their secondary structure includes four short double-helical elements and three loops (D, anti-codon, and T loops). The record is from RNAcentral. Lineage: Eukaryota; Apicomplexa; Aconoidasida; Haemosporida; Plasmodiidae.